Oncorhynchus mykiss (rainbow trout) is the source of this 113-nucleotide non-coding RNA. NCBI's taxonomy places the organism in Eukaryota, Metazoa, Chordata, Actinopteri, Salmoniformes, Salmonidae. The record is from RefSeq and is a predicted model, not a curated record.
CCUAGGUCAGCCCCUCAGACCUCCAACAGACCUAGGUCAGCCCCUCAGACCUCCAACAGACCUAGGUCAGCCCCUCAGACCUCCAACAGACCUAGGUCAGCCCCUCAGACCUC